RNAcentral lists this ribosomal RNA (494 nucleotides) under uncultured bacterium. Its description in RNAcentral is "partial 16S ribosomal RNA". It matches the Rfam family "Bacterial small subunit ribosomal RNA", at positions 28 to 507 of the family's 1533-position model. The record is from RNAcentral.
GACGAACGCUGGCGGCGUGCUUAACACAUGCAAGUCGAACGGAAAGGCCUGCUUUCCCUUGUGGAUUGCGGGUACUCGAGUGGCGAACGGGUGAGUAACACGUGAGUGAUCUGCCCCCAACUUGGGUAUAAGCCUGGGAAACUGGGUCUAAUUCCCGAUAGGACUGCAGGGUGGUGCCUGUGGUGGAAAACGAUUUUCUAGUGGUUGGGGAUGAGCUCGCGGCCUAUCAGCUUGUUGGUGGGGUAAUGGCCUACCAAGGCGGCGACGGGUAGCCGGCCUGAGAGGGUGGACGGCCACAUUGGGACUGAGAUACGGCCCAGACUCCUACGGGAGGCAACAGUGGGGAAUAUUGCACAAUGGGCGGAAGCCUGAUGCAGCGACGCCGCGUGGGGGAUGACGGCCUUCGGGUGGUAAACUCCUUUCGACCGCGAGGAAGCCACCUGGUUGGAAGGGUGGUGACGGUAGUGGUAGAAGAAGCACCGGCUAACUACGUG